This 395-nucleotide ribosomal RNA is filed under the name Neotessella lapponica. Its description in RNAcentral is "Tessellaria lapponica partial small subunit ribosomal RNA". It matches the Rfam family "Eukaryotic small subunit ribosomal RNA", at positions 30 to 432 of the family's 1831-position model. Lineage: Eukaryota; Synurophyceae; Synurales; Neotessellaceae. The record is from RNAcentral.
GCUUGUCUCAAAGAUUAAGCCAUGCAUGUCUAAGUGUAAAUACGUCUACACUGUGAAACUGCGAAUGGCUCAUUAAAUCAGUUAUCGUUUAUUUGAUGAUCUCUUGUUACAUGGAUAACCGUAGUAAUUCUAGAGCUAAUACAUGCGUCAAGCCCCGACUCACGAAGGGGUGUAUUUAUUAGAUUCAAAGCCAAUGCGGGGCAACCCGGAUUCUGGUGAUUCAUAAUAAUUAUCGGAUCGAUCGUAUGAUCGAUGCAUCAUUCAAGUUUCUGCCCUAUCAGCUUUGGAUGGUAGGGUAUUGGCCUACCAUGGCAUUAACGGGUAACGGAGAAUUAGGGUUCGAUUCCGGAGAGGGAGCCUGAGAAAUGGCUACCACAUCCAAGGAAGGCAGCAGG